Cervus hanglu yarkandensis (Yarkand deer) is the source of this 5163-nucleotide long non-coding RNA. Lineage: Eukaryota; Metazoa; Chordata; Mammalia; Artiodactyla; Cervidae. The record is from Ensembl.
AUGCCAAUCCGAGCGAUACCACCAGAAGAAAUUCCUCCUACGGCUGUUCCUCCCAUCCCUCUUUUGCUACCAUUACCUGAAGAAAAGAAACCACCAGCAAAACGUGUUGAAGUGACCAAAAAAGCUGUGAAGAAAGAUGCCAAAAAGGUUGUCGCAAAGCCCAAGGAAGAGGCACCACCACCUAAAGGUAUUAUGAUUUAUCAAAAUUCCAAGAAUUCCCCGGCAGUCCAGUAGUUAGGGCUUGCCACUUUCACUGCUGUGGGCCAGGUUCAAUCCCUGGUCAGGAAAGUAAGAUCCUGCGAGCUGCACCGCACUACCCCACCCCACCCCCCAAAAUUCAAUCUUAACUGCUUUUCACUUAGUUAAAAAAAUUAAAUCCAGAUAGGGAAGGACAGAGGAAGACUAAGAGUGUGACUUUAUAAAAUAGUACCUCUUCAUUUACUCACCCUCACACUCUUCUUUGACUCGGCCCUCACUUUCUCUUUCUCAACUUUCUUUAUUUUCCCAUUUUUCUCCUCCCCUGUCCUCCUUUUCCUGUGUCUGCCCAUGACACCCAAUGGCCACACCAGAGAGUUCUUAUUGUCUCUGGAUGGUAAUUUAAAGAAGGCACUGCCCUCCAACAUAUGGUCUUAAUCUAGUCACUCAAAUAGAAUGUUUUAAAGGGCUGGUGCUAGGUUUGAGUGGUUGCUCCAGCCUAGUUCAGCAUCUUUCCCAGUUCAGCUGAGCUAAAUGUCAAUACCCACAGAAGAAAAAUACUUUGUACAGGGGCAUCAAUUUACCUACUUUAAGUUUUCAUUGUCACUUGGAAAAUUUUUAGAAAGAAAAAUAGAUAGCUAAAUUUAAGCAAACAGUUUUAUCCACCUGGCUAAGAUUAGAGAACAGCAAGCUCCUAAAAAGGAGGAAAAUUCAGGAGCACAGGAGACUCUUUCACUGAGACUUUUUUUCUGAGUGGUCAUUUAUGAAGUGUUACAGAAUAAGGAGAAGCUCAAAAGCCAUGGAUAGUUCCUGAACUUUAUCAUUAAUCCCUGAAAAAAAAUUAUUUUCUUUUAGCAUUAUGUUUUAGCAUCAGACAUACUGAAUAUUCUCUUUAUGUUUCAUAUUUUUAAAUUGUUUUAAAUCAAUCUAAGCUAGAAAAAAGUUUUACCCUUCCCAUAUUUUCAUUUGCAUGGCAUUGCAGAGCAUUUCUGGUGAGCCAAAUUUGCAUCUUAUAAAAACAUUUGGUAUACAAAUAGUAUUCACAGAUCAUACAAAUGACUAACAAGGGUAUAUAGGAUUAGUAAGCAUUAAAAAAAUGCAUAAUCUAAAAAUAAACUUGCAUUUUUUGUUUUCAAAGCUGUAGAGAUUCCCAAGCCACCACGUCCUACUGCCUUAAUUCCAGCGGAAGGUAAAUGAAAUUAUUAAAUAUUCUAUUUCUUGCUGAGAUUUUUAUCCCUGCAUUGUAUUCUUAUGUACUAAGCUUCCAACUUAUUAUAAAAUUGCAGUCUCCUCUGCUACAGUAAAAUUAGCAGUCAAAAUAAUGGCUACUUUAUAUUGGGCAAAUUCCAGGAAAGAAACCUAGGCAAAUGUUUAUGUAGCCUCUCUGCAGUGGACACAGGGAGAGAAGUGGUUAGGGCUAGAAAGGAGGGAUCACCUCUUAUUAUUUCAUCUGUAGCUAACACGGAUGUUAAGCAUCAUAUGAAUAAUGUUAGCCUUAGUAUUUUUAAAGUUGUCAUACAAAAACAAUUAAUUGAUUAAUUACAAAAUUUCAAAUAUUAUCUUUAUUAAACUGACUAAAGGUUUAUAUUCAGUAUUCAAAAAUGUAGCUUUAAAAUUAGUACUGUUUUUGAAAGAAGAAUUGGAAUUGUAAGUAGCUGCAGAAAUAUUAAAUAUAAAUUCCAUAAAAAGAUCAAAUAUUAAGAUAUUCCAUGGGAAAAAAGCUAAGAGUUUUACAAAUUGGAGCUCCCACAAAACAAUGGAAGAUUGUGUUCAUUUAAGAAUAUUUACUGAAUGCCAUUUUGUACACAUGGGAAGAGUCCUCAGAUUAAGAGUAGACUGUCUCUUGUCCCUCCUGAUUGUGUUCCAUAAUCAACAAAAAUUUAAGCAGAACCACAACACAAAGAAAACAUAAGUAAUCAAACUGAUGCUAAAAUCUCAGACGCUGAUACUGCUAGAUGACUUCGACUUUUGUUCAGUGAAGUAAUUGUGUGGAUAUAAUUAAUAUGCUAAUAUUAUUUUGUUUGAUUUAUUGUAGCACCUGAAAUUAUUGAUGUAUCCUCCAAGGCUGAAGAAGUGAAAAUAACGACCAUAACCAGAAAGAAAGAGGUUCAGAAAGAAAAAGAAGCUGUGUAUGAGAGAAAACAAGCAGUCUACGAGGAGAAGAAAGUUUACAUAGAAUCUUUGGAAGAACCUUACGACGAGCUAGAGGUGGAACCGUAUACGGAGCCGUAUGAAGAGCCUUAUUAUGAGGAACCAGAGGAAGACUACGAAGAGACCCAGGUAGAAGCUAAGAGGGAAGUUCACGAGGAAUGGGAAGAAGACUUUGAAGAAGGGCAACAAUACUAUGAAAGGGAGGAAGGUUAUGACGAAGGAGAGGAAGAGUGGGAGGAGGCUUACCAAGAGAGAGAAGUCAUCCAAGUUCAGAAGGAGGUUUAUGAAGGUAUGUAUUAGUCGGGUGGUUUUUUCCUCUUUGCCUCAUUGUUGCUCAAUUCUAUUUUCAAGGUUAUUAACCUGAUUCAUGAUGAAUAUGAAAUAGAUGAAAAGACCGUUUCCAUUUUUAAAGUUAGAAAUCUUUAGAACCUUUAAAAGAAUUAUUUUCUUCAGAGUUACUUUCAUGCUUUGUAAAUUUAUAAAUUGAAUCAUUUAGUCCUGUUACUAAGACUGAAUUCUAAGUGCUCUUUUCUAAUGCGGAAGUUCAAGUUUUAGUUUUACUACCUUGCUAUCUCUGCUUGAUCUUGCUUCUAAAUCUGGCCUGGGUAAUCCUGUUAUCAAUACAGAUCCCAAAUACAGUAAUUUACACAGUUGUAUAUUAUUCUUAAUUUACAUCAUUUGCAAACUGAUACAAUUUAUUAGAAUUUACGUAUUCAACCACUCCUUUUAUUACUGUUUUUGUUAAAGAAUCACGUGAGAGGAAAAUUCCAGCAAAAGUACCUGAAAAGAAAGAAGUACCACCUCCUAAAGGUAUGUAAUUGGAAUUAUUUAAAUAGACCACAUCAUCAACAUCAUGAUCAUGGCUUGCUGGGCAAAGAUGUAUGAAUCACGAAUUUAAUCCAAUAGACACAACUUCUUCUUGAAACUUCAUUGUAUCAAUGAUUUUUUUCUAAGAAUAUCUACCUACUUCAUUUAAUGUAAACAUAAAAAAGAUGAUAAAAAGAUUGUUGUGGUAAGCAUAAAAUAAAGCCAAAAUACUUGAAGUACAGAAGCUUGUACUUGAAGUUCAGUGCAACAAACUUAUCUCUCUCUUUAAAAAAUGAAAGAAAAAGAGAGAGACUACUUUAAUAGAAAUUCUAAAAGUACUGCAAUUUUCUUAAAAUGCUUACAGUUGUAAAGAAGCCUGUAGUUGAAAAAAUUGAAAAGACUUCUCGAAGAAUGGAGGAAGAAAAAGUUCAAGUCACCAAAGGUAUUAUUAUUUAAAACAUUUCAUGCUUCUGGGUAGUAGCUGAAUUGGUGAUUUUUUUUCCCACCACAUUAUAUUUUUUAUACCUUCCAAAUAUUCCAUUGUUGUUGUUCAGUCACUAAGUCAUGUCCGACUCUAAGAACCCAUGAACUGCAACACACCAGGCUUCCCUGUCCUUCGCUAUCUCCUGGAGUUGGCUCAGAUUCAUGUCCAUUGAGUCAAUGAUCCCAUCCAACCACCUAAUCCUCUGUUGCCCCCAUCUCCUUUUGCCUUCAAUUGUUCCCAGCAUCAGGGUCUUUUCCAUUGAGUCGGCUCUUCGCAUCAGGUGGCCAAAAGUAUUGGAGCUUCAGUUUCAGCAUCAGUCCUUUCAAUGAAUAUCCAUUAUGUACAUCUAUUUUUAUAAUUUCAAAGUUAAUUAAGGAUUUUUCAAAAAAAAAAACUUUCUCUGUAAGUUGGAAGGAAUUUGAUUUCAAAAAACUGAUAAAACAUUUCAAGUACCAUGUACACAAGUAAUUGUUUACUAAUAUAUAGUCACGUUAGUUAUAUAGUCAUCUAAAUUAAGAUAUUUUUAAAUUUUGUGCAAAACAAUAUUCUUCACAAUACAAAUAUAUUUGUACAUAUUUUUUAAGUACCUGAAGUUUCAAAGAAGAUUGUUCCACAAAAACCUUCUCGGACUCCAGUGCAGGAAGAAAUUAUUGAAGUGAAAGGUAUACAUCUUUGUCUUUCAGCUACAAGUUUUAAACAUUUUUAUUUAUGUGUAUGGAUAUGUGUACAUAUAUUACUUAACAAUUCACAAAUAUGAAAUCACCAAAAUAAAGACAUAUUAUAUAAUAUACAUGUUAUGUUGCACAUUUAUAUAAUUUAUGUAAAUAAUAACCUUGUUUUUAGUUUCACUCUAAAAUUGCAUAAUUUUUUAAUUAAGGAAGGAUUUGUGUUUAAUCAGUAGUUCUCUAACUUCACUGUGCAGUGUUUUAUAUUGCAUAUAAUAUUCCCAUCCUCUCACUUAUAUGAAUAAGCCCUAAUGGAUUUGGGAAAACACCACAUCCCAUGUGAAGAAGUUGUCUCUAUUUGAUUCCAAUUUAAUAAUAUUUGAUAAAGGCUGCAUGGGUUGUUUGUCCCUAUAGAUCAAAACAUGAUUUGUUUCCUUGUCAAUACUGAAUUUGUUCUUAAGCUAUCAUAUUAACCCACUCAUUCUGCAACUAAAAACUUAAAUACAGCAUACACACCAUGUAUUUAAUCUGAUGUCUUUUCCUGGAAAAACGAAAUACUAAUGUGAAAUACUCUCUUUGAAGUACCUGCUGUACAUACAAAGAAGAUGGUUAUUUCAGAAGAAAAGAUGUUCUUUGCUGCUCACACAGAGGAGGAGGAGGUGUCAGUUACAGGUACAAGGCAAAUUUGAAUAUGGGGCUCAACUGGAAGGGCUUCAGAUGGAUUUUUAUCUCUCUUCUUAUCUAAUUUGUGUUUAUGUAGAUAUCUCUGUCUCCUUGUGAAUCUGUCAUCUUUUCAUUUCACAGUUGUCUGUUUUAAUUUGUAUUUCAAUAUUCUUUGUAAAUUGCAAUAUCACCUACAGU